Molecule: ribosomal RNA, 509 nt
Filed under: uncultured bacterium
Lineage: Bacteria
Description: bacterial SSU rRNA
Rfam family: Bacterial small subunit ribosomal RNA
Source: RNAcentral
CGAACGCUGGCGGCGUGCUUAACACAUGCAAGUCGAACGCGAGAGGGACUUCGGUCCUGAGUAAAGUGGCGCACGGGUGAGUAACGCGUAGAUAACCUGUCUUCAUGUCUGGAAUAAUACGCCGAAAGGGGUACUAAUACCGGAUAUUCUUGCUUUUCAUAAGUUAUGCAAGCAAAGGUGGCCUCUGCAUAUGCUACUGCAUGAAGAGGGGUCUGCGUACCAUUAGCUAGUAGGUGGGGUAAUGGCCUACCUAGGCGACGAUGGUUAGCGGGUCUGAGAGGAUGAUCCGCCACACUGGCACUGGAACACGGGCCAGACUCCUACGGGAGGCAGCAGUGAGGAAUAUUGCGCAAUGGGGGAAACCCUGACGCAGCGACGCCGCGUGAGUGAAGGAAGGCCUUCGGGUCGUAAAGCUCUGUCAAGAGGAAAGGAGUGUACAAUGGCUAAUACCUGUUGUAUUUGACGGUACCUCUAAAGGAAGCACCGGCUAACUCCGUGCCAGCCGCAGC